GCCAAGGGAGCUUGGGUCCGGUCCAAGCACUCGAUUUGUAAUCGAGAAUUCAUGGGUUCAAAUCCCAUCCUUGGCU
Molecule: transfer RNA, 76 nt
Filed under: Halomarina oriensis
Lineage: Archaea; Methanobacteriati; Methanobacteriota; Halobacteria; Halobacteriales; Natronomonadaceae
Also listed under: 1 other name
Description: tRNA-Thr
Rfam family: tRNA
About the family: Transfer RNA (tRNA) molecules are approximately 80 nucleotides in length. Their secondary structure includes four short double-helical elements and three loops (D, anti-codon, and T loops). Further hydrogen bonds mediate the characteristic L-shaped molecular structure. tRNAs have two regions of fundamental functional importance: the anti-codon, which is responsible for specific mRNA codon recognition, and the 3' end, to which the tRNAs corresponding amino acid is attached (by aminoacyl-tRNA synthetases). tRNAs cope with the degeneracy of the genetic code in two manners: having more than one tRNA (with a specific anti-codon) for a particular amino acid; and 'wobble' base-pairing, i.e. permitting non-standard base-pairing at the 3rd anti-codon position.
Source: RNAcentral